UCAGUCAAUGAUGAUGACUGGUGGCGAAUCAGCCAUGGGUAACGAAUACCAUGUCUGCAACUCUGCCUCUGUUGAA
Nomascus leucogenys (northern white-cheeked gibbon) is the source of this 76-nucleotide small nucleolar RNA. NCBI's taxonomy places the organism in Eukaryota, Metazoa, Chordata, Mammalia, Primates, Hylobatidae. The record is from Ensembl.